UUUGACCGUGCGAAGGUAGCGCAAUCACUUGUCUUUUAAAUGAAGACCUGUAUGAAUGGCAUAACGAGGGCUUAACUGUCUCCUCUCUCCAGUCAAUGAAAUUGAUCUUCCCGUGCAGAAGCGGGAAUACACACAUAAGGACGAGAAGACCCUAUGGAGCUUUAGACACCAAGGCAGAUCAUGUUAAUAGUCCUGAAUAAAGGAACAAACCAGAUGGAACCUGCUCUAAUGUCUUUGGUUGGGGCGACCGCGGGGAAUUAAAAAACCCCCACGUGGAAUGGGAGCACCCCUCCUACAACUAUAGAGCUACAGCUCUAGUUAGCAGAAAUUCUGACCAGCAAGAUCCGGCAAUGCCGAUCAACGGACCGAGUUACCCUAGGGAUAACAGCGCAAUCCUCUUUUAGAGCCCAUAUCGACAAGGGGGUUUACGACCUCGAUGUUGGAUCAGGACAUCCUAAUGGUGCAGCCGCUAUUAAGGGUUCGUUUGUUCAACGAUUAAAGUCCUACGUGAUCU
This 514-nucleotide ribosomal RNA is filed under the name Pholis ornata (saddleback gunnel). RNAcentral describes it as "partial 16S ribosomal RNA". It matches the Rfam family "Bacterial large subunit ribosomal RNA", at positions 1941 to 2606 of the family's 2925-position model. The record is from RNAcentral. Lineage: Eukaryota; Metazoa; Chordata; Actinopteri; Perciformes; Pholidae.